Molecule: long non-coding RNA, 908 nt
Organism: Acanthopagrus latus (yellowfin seabream)
Lineage: Eukaryota; Metazoa; Chordata; Actinopteri; Spariformes; Sparidae
Exons: 2
Source: RefSeq, a predicted model, not a curated record
UGACUCAUCUUCUUCAUAAACAAUCUUUGGGAGGGGUUGCCCAGCACGCACGUGGUGAAAGGGGCGGGGCCACCCCGUCCUGCUGCUAACAUACGGAGGCGUGGCUGGUUCGUACACGUCAUCGACAGACAUUCAAAGCGCUCCACGAGCGUCUGAAAGGCUGGGGAGUUUGAUUCGUUUUGGUUUUUUUGGUACACGAGACAAACAAGCAGACGUGGAACAUGUCGACACACGGUGGUUAACGACUACGACACAGUACACGUUUAGUUGGAAGGAACGAGUAAUAGCACAGAUGCAUGUUGGGGAAGCCUGAAAGCCAGAGUCAGUUGAUCCCCGGCGGACGAUGUCAGCAGUGCGUGCAGUCACUCACGAACAUACCGACGGGGUAACGCAGAUGGAGAGAGAUCUGUGAAGUUUACAGUGAUGCAACCGUGCAGUCUACUACUGUAACAACCCAGUCUAUGCAGCAGGUUUCAAUGCAGUCACCCCCCGAUACUGCAGCAGCCCGGGAUGUUUAUUAGCCAUUGUGGACAGCUACCAUUUAGGGUUAAACACGGGCAGCCUGUCACAUACACGGACAUGUAUGUUUUGUGUGUGAGUUAAUACAAUUCUGCAACACGUCUUGACGCGAUAAACGAAUAUGAAAGUAAAACAAACAGGUCACAUUCUGGCUUGAACGCAAUCCUGUCAGUUGCUGCUUGUAUUUUAAUGUGAAAAACAACAAACCCGCGAUUUUCAGACUAUAAUCGGUUCAUGAAUGGCGUAAAUUGAUGUAACUCUGUGAUUCAGAAAACUUAAUCUCUCGGGCACACCUUUUCACUGGAUAACUGAGGAUUUGCCUGUGUAUUCGUCCGAGUUGACAGUGUAGCAGAGACACAAAGUAUAUUUCUAAUAAAAUACCAACUUAC